Molecule: ribosomal RNA, 868 nt
Filed under: uncultured bacterium
Lineage: Bacteria
Description: bacterial SSU rRNA
Rfam family: Bacterial small subunit ribosomal RNA
Source: RNAcentral
CAUUGGNUCAACCAAUGUACGCUUUGGAAACUGUUAGACUUGAGUGCAGAAGGGGAGAGUGGAAUUCCAUGUGUAGCGGUGAAAUGCGUAGAUAUAUGGAGGAACACCGGUGGCGAAAGCGGCUCUNUGGUCUGUCACUGACGCUGAGGCUNGAAAGCGUGGGUAGCGAACAGGAUUAGAUACCCUGGUAGUNCACGCCGUAAACGCUGAGUGCUAGGUGUUAGGUCCUUUCCGGGACUUAGUGCCGACGCUAACGCAUUAAGCACUCCGCCUGGGGAGUACGACCGCAAGGUUGAAACUCAAAGGAGUUGACGGGGGCCCGCACAAGCGGUGGAGCAUGUGGUUUAAUUCGAAGCAACGCGAAGAACCUUACCAGGUCUUGACAUCCCGAUGCCCGCUCUAGAGAUAGAGUUUUUCUUCGGAACAUCGGAGACAGGUGGUGCAUGGUUGUCGUCAGCUCGUGUCGUGAGAUGUUGGGUUAAGUCCCGCAACGAGCGCAACCCUUAUUGUUAGUUGCCAUCAUUAAGUUGGGCACUCUAGCGAGACUGCCGGUAAUAAACCGGAGGAAGGUGGGGAUGACGUCAAAUCAUCAUGCCCCUUAUGACCUGGGCUACACACGUGCUACAAUGGUUGGUACAACGAGUCGCAAGCCGGUGACGGCAAGCUAAUCUCUGAAAGCCAAUCUCAGUUCGGAUUGUAGGCUGCAACUCGCCUACAUGAAGUCGGAAUCGCUAGUAAUCGCGGAUCAGCACGCCGCGGUGAAUACGUUCCCGGGCCUUGUACACACCGCCCGUCACACCACGAGAGUUUGUAACACCCAAAGUCGGUGAGGUAACCAUUUAUGGGGCCAGCCGCCUAAGGUGGGANG